AUGGGAAUUUACCGCAAAUCGUCGUGGUUUCUUCUUGUUGUGAAUCAGGCGGGGUUUCAGGUCGUUCAUCGGGCCGCGGGGAUAAUUUUUUUGCGACUCUGUUUUUGCGGCAUUGUUCUGACAAUGUUCAAUUUGUUGGCGUUUCAGAUGGCCAAGGAUUUGCUAUGGGAACUGGCGCUCAUGGCGUGGCCUCUCCUCAAGGAGGAGGCCGCGGAGCUCGCCAAAAGCGUGCUCCGCGAGCUGGCGCGCGAGGAGGCCAAGACGCGGCUCAAGGCCGCCGUCAAGGCUGGGGCGGAGGGCCUCAAGGGCCUUCUCGAGGCGCCUCCAUCCACUGCGACUCCGGCGCCGGCGGCAGAGGUGGCCGACCCGCGUCGGGUGGAGCUGCUGGUCGACGGAGCGGCGGUCUGCAUCGACCACGCCCCUCUGCUGCUGCGUGGUGGACGGCUUCUCCAUCUCCCCCUCUUCGUCGACGACGUCGUCCUCGCCAGGGUGGCGCCCAGCCUCCUCGGUCGGCUCGGCCCGGAGAUGGGGCCGGCCGUUGAGGCGCUGCUGCGCGGCAAGCUGAUCGCCCCGGGGGUGCAGUCGGCUCUACGCUCCGGCCUGGAGCUGCCACCCGCCGUCAGGCAGAUGCUCGCGGCCAAGUUUGAGACGAGCGCCGUGCAGAGCCUCGAGUGCUCCUCGCUCAUCGCCUUCGCCGCCAGCCCUGCUUCCUCCAUCACGGAGGCGACAGCGGGUGCGGGUGCCCAGGCGCUCCCCAGCCUACAGGACUUCGUCGUGUGCGCGUCCGCUCUGGGGGUCAUCGCCCUCGCCCUGUACCUCAUCUGGAGGGGGCCGCGCGGCGGCGGCGACUGA
This 852-nucleotide ribosomal RNA is filed under the name Triticum aestivum (bread wheat). RNAcentral describes it as "partial small subunit ribosomal RNA". Lineage: Eukaryota; Viridiplantae; Streptophyta; Magnoliopsida; Poales; Poaceae. The record is from RNAcentral.